GAUGAACGCUGGCGGCGUGCCUAAUACAUGCAAGUCGAGCGAACGGACGAGAAGCUUGCUUUUCUGAUGUUAGCGGCGGACGGGUGAGUAACACGUGGAUAACCUACCUAUAAGACUGGGAUAACUUCGGGAAACCGGAGCUAAUACCGGAUAAUAUUUUGAACCGCAUGGUUCAAAAGUGAAAGACGGUCUUGCUGUCACUUAUAGAUGGAUCCGCGCUGCAUUAGCUAGUUGGUAAGGUAACGGCUUACCAAGGCAACGAUGCAUAGCCGACCUGAGAGGGUGAUCGGCCACACUGGAACUGAGACACGGCCCAGACUCCUACGGGAGGCAGCGGUAGGGAAUCUUCCGCAAUGGGCGAAAGCCUGACGGAGCAACGCCGCGUGAGGGAUGAAGGUCUUCGGAUCGUAAAACUCUGUUAUUAGGGAGGAACAUAUGUGUAAGUAACUGUGCACAUCUUGACGGUACCUAAUCAGAAAGCCACGGCUAACUACGUG
RNAcentral lists this ribosomal RNA (497 nucleotides) under uncultured bacterium. Its description in RNAcentral is "partial 16S ribosomal RNA". It matches the Rfam family "Bacterial small subunit ribosomal RNA", at positions 28 to 507 of the family's 1533-position model. The record is from RNAcentral.